GGGAGUCCGGCAACCUGAGCGACAUUGCUGCAAUGUGCAAUAUUAUGUGGAAUAAGGAUGUAUUCCUCAGGUAUGCCAGCUCCUUCCCCAAAAUGAGUGAGGCCAUGAGGCAGCUGGAGGCUCUGUCAGACGAGUGUGUUGUGGGAUUUGCUGCACAUAAGCAUUGUACCCAUAAGGACAGGGAGAGGAGGAGCUAUUCAGAAGCUCUGUCGGUGCACCGAGGUAGAACCACCCAGUCAGGCUGGCGAGGGACCUGUUGGGGCUGCACCACGAGGCCUGUGUUUUAGACAGUCACGUCGCCAGCAUCGUCUCGCUCUGGAACAACCUGCCGGAGAGAGACACGUAGCUACCUACCGAGGCACAGGGACUGGCUCCUGCAGGGCAGGUUCAAGGCCAGCCACCUCAAGAUAAGUGUGCACAGGGCAGGAAAGUCUGAAGC
Long non-coding RNA from Brienomyrus brachyistius, 439 nucleotides. RefSeq lists it as uncharacterized. The record is from RefSeq and is a predicted model, not a curated record. Lineage: Eukaryota; Metazoa; Chordata; Actinopteri; Osteoglossiformes; Mormyridae. The transcript is spliced from 3 exons.